UACGUAAGGUGCAAGCGUUGUCCGGAAUUAUUGGGCGUAAAGAGCUCGUAGGCGGUCUGUCGCGUCUGCUGUGAAAACUCAGGGCUUAACCCUGAGCUUGCAGUGGUACGGGCAGACUAGAGUGCGGUAGGGGAGACUGGAAUUCCUGGUGUAGCGGUGAAAUGCGCAGAUAUCAGGAGGAACACCGGUGGCGAAGGCGGGUCUCUGGGCCGUAACUGACGCUGAGGAGCGAAAGCAUGGGAGCGAACAGG
Molecule: ribosomal RNA, 251 nt
Filed under: uncultured bacterium
Lineage: Bacteria
Description: partial 16S ribosomal RNA
Rfam family: Bacterial small subunit ribosomal RNA
Source: RNAcentral